Long non-coding RNA from Biomphalaria glabrata, 117 nucleotides. RefSeq lists it as uncharacterized. The record is from RefSeq and is a predicted model, not a curated record. NCBI's taxonomy places the organism in Eukaryota, Metazoa, Mollusca, Gastropoda, Planorbidae. The transcript is spliced from 2 exons.
CCUACUUGAGCUUUAUUUUAUUACUAUUUUGUUUUUAAUUUAAAGCAUUUACCCAAAACAAAAAUCAUAUUUAUUGGGACUUUUAUCUUAUCUUAUAAAAUACGGAGACGUUUUUUU